Molecule: ribosomal RNA, 481 nt
Filed under: uncultured bacterium
Lineage: Bacteria
Description: partial 16S ribosomal RNA
Rfam family: Bacterial small subunit ribosomal RNA
Source: RNAcentral
ACGAACGCUGGCGGCGCGCCUAACACAUGCAAGUCGAACGAGAGAGAGGGAGCUUGCUUCCUUGAUCGAGUGGCGAACGGGUGAGUAACGCGUGAGGAACCUGCCUCAAAGAGGGGGGUAACAGUUGGAAACGACUGCUAAUACCGCAUAAGCCCACGACCCGGCAUCGGGAAGAGGGAAAAGGAGCAAUCCGCUUUGAGAUGGCCUCGCGUCCGAUUAGCUAGUUGGUGAGGUAACGGCCCACCAAGGCGACGAUCGGUAGCCGGACUGAGAGGUUGAACGGCCACGUUGGGACUGAGACACGGCCCAGACUCCUACGGGAGGCAGCAGUGGGGAAUAUUGCACAAUGGGGGAAACCCUGAUGCAGCGACGCCGCGUGGAGGAAGAAGGUCUUCGGAUUGUAAACUCCUGUUGUUGAGGAAGAUAAUGACGGUACCCAACAAGGAAGUGACGGCUAACUACGUGCCAGCCGCCGCCGUAA